AAACGGCUACCACUUCCAAGGAAGGCAGCAGGCGCGCAACUUACCCUAAUCUCGAUUCGAGGAGGUAGUGACAAGAAAUACCGAUGCGGGACCCUACGGGUGCCGCGUUCGGAAUGAGUACGAUUCGAACCACCUAACGAGGAACGAUCGGAGGGCAAGUCUGGUGCCAGCAGCCGCGGUAAUUCCAGCUCCAAUAGCGUACGUUAAAGUUGCUGCAGUUAAAAAGCUCGUAGUUGAACGUUCGGGUUCCGCGGGACGGGGCCGCCCCGCGAGGGACGGCGCCGCCCCGGGGCUCGUGAUAUCUCAUCUCGCCGCCCGUCGCGAGGCGGACGGAGGGAUGGAUGAGGUUACCUGGAAAAAAUCGGGGCGAUCUAGGCGGGCGAACCUCGCCAACGAACGAUCGGACAUGGGAUAACGGG
RNAcentral lists this ribosomal RNA (419 nucleotides) under uncultured eukaryote. Its description in RNAcentral is "bacterial SSU rRNA". It matches the Rfam family "Eukaryotic small subunit ribosomal RNA", at positions 401 to 821 of the family's 1831-position model. The record is from RNAcentral.